This 660-nucleotide ribosomal RNA is filed under the name uncultured bacterium. RNAcentral's name for it is "bacterial SSU rRNA". It matches the Rfam family "Bacterial small subunit ribosomal RNA", at positions 94 to 788 of the family's 1533-position model. The record is from RNAcentral.
AGUGGCGGACGGGUGAGUAACGCGUGAGAAUCUGCCUUGGGGUCGGGGACAACCACUGGAAACGGUGGCUAAUACCGGAUACGCCUUCGGGUAAAAGAUUUAUUGCCCUAAGAGGAGCUCGCGUCUGAUUAGCUAGUUGGUGAGGUAAGAGCUCACCAAGGCAGCGAUCAGUAGCUGGUCUGAGAGGACGAUCAGCCACACUGGGACUGAGACACGGCCCAGACUCCUACGGGAGGCAGCAGUGGGGAAUUUUCCGCAAUGGGCGAAAGCCUGACGGAGCAAGACCGCGUGAGGGAGGAAGGCUCUUGGGUUGUAAACCUCUUUUCUCAGGGAAGAAGAUCUGACGGUACCUGAGGAAUCAGCCUCGGCUAACUCCGUGCCAGCAGCCGCGGUAAUACGGAGGAGGCAAGCGUUAUCCGGAAUUAUUGGGCGUAAAGCGUCCGCAGGUAGCGAUUCAAGUCUGCUGUCAAAGCACGGGGCUUAACUCCGUAAAGGCAGUGGAAACUGAAUAGCUAGAGUGCCGUAGGGGUAGAGGGAAUUCCCGGUGUAGCGGUGAAAUGCGUAGAGAUCGGGAAGAACAUCGGUGGCGAAAGCGCUCUACUGGACGGCAACUGACACUCAGGGACGAAAGCUAGGGGAGCGAAUGGGAUUAGAUACCCC